CUAAGGUGUCAUCGGGAAGGUGCGGCCCUUUGGGGCCGUGAAAAGGGAAUCCGGUGCGGCCACAAGGCCCAGGCCGGAGCUGCCCCCGCAACUGUAAGCGGCCGAAGACGCGAUCCUCAUGCCACGGGCACGCCCCGGAAGGCGAUCGCGGACAGGACGCGAGCCAGGAGACCUGCCUUCUCGCAACUGAACUC
RNAcentral lists this non-coding RNA (194 nucleotides) under Azorhizobium caulinodans. The record is from RNAcentral. RNAcentral also lists the same sequence under 1 other name. Lineage: Bacteria; Pseudomonadati; Pseudomonadota; Alphaproteobacteria; Hyphomicrobiales; Xanthobacteraceae.